This 678-nucleotide long non-coding RNA is filed under the name Homo sapiens (human). Its description in RNAcentral is "LNC_000498". The record is from RNAcentral. Lineage: Eukaryota; Metazoa; Chordata; Mammalia; Primates; Hominidae.
UGUGUUAGCGUGUGUGAUGUGUGCUUGUGUGAUGUGUUUUCGUGUGUGUGAUUGUUAGUGUGUGUGAUGUGUGCUUGUGUGAUGUGUUUUAGCACGUGUGAUGUGUGUUAGUGUGUGAUGUGUGUGUUAGUGUGUGAUGUGUGUUAGCGUGUGUGAUGUGUGCUUGUGUGAUGUGUUUUCGUGUGUGUGAUGUGUGUUUGUGUGAUGUGUUAGCGUGUGUGAUGUGUGCUUGUGUGAUGUGUUUUUGUGUGUGUGAUGUGUUAGUGUGUGUGAUGUGUGUUUGUGUGAUGUGUGUUAGCGUGUGUGAUGUGUGCUUGUGUGAUGUGUUUUUGUGUGUGUGAUGUGUUAGUGUGUGUGAUGUGUGCUUGUGUGACGUGUUUUAGCACGUGUGAUGUGUGUUAGUGUGUGAUGUGUGUUAGUGUGUGAUGUGUGUUAGCGUGUGUGAUGUGUGCUUGUGUGAUGUGUUUUUGUGUGUGUGAUGUGUUAGUGUGUGUGAUGUGUGCUUGUGUGAUGUGUUUUCGUGUGUGUGAUGUGUUAGUGUGUGUGAUGUGUGCUUGUGUGAUGUGUUUUAGCACGUGUGAUGUGUGUUAGUGUGUGAUGUGUGUUAGUGUGUGAUGUGUGUUAGCGUGCGUGAUGUGUGCUUGUGUGAUGUGUUUUCGUGUGUGAUGUGUGUUAGUG